Molecule: long non-coding RNA, 10035 nt
Organism: Rattus norvegicus (Norway rat)
Lineage: Eukaryota; Metazoa; Chordata; Mammalia; Rodentia; Muridae
Source: RefSeq, a predicted model, not a curated record
GUAGAUCCUCUGAGUUCAAGACCAGCCUGCUGUAUGUAGUGAGUUCCAGAACUCACUCUCUCUCUCUCUCUCUCUCUCUCUCUCUCUCUCUCUCUCUCUCUCUCUCACACACACACACACACACACACACACACACACACACACACACGAAAGUAUAUAUCACUAAGAACAGAGAAAUGCAGGCGAAAUGUGGGUGGGGUGGAGGCCAUAUGUGCAAACUCAAGAAGUGACAAGACAUGCUGACCUCUGGGCCACUGACCACUCUGCACAGGGGCUUUCUACCUGCCAGUCUGCAACCCACCAUUCAGUUUUUCAUAGUUGUACAUCAAUAGUAACACAAUUUCUGUCUGUCACUUCAGAAAUGUAAAUGACCCUAAGGCCAUGAGGAAUGUUUGCUUUGCACUCUGGAGAACUCAAAAUCCACACCCAGCCGUGACUACCGUGCAGACACUCAAUGAUGAAUACACUGGAGUUAAAAUGCUACUUCAUGUUUCCUCUACGUGGUUCCACACACUCCAUUUCUCGAUUCCAGGGAAGUCUCUCUAGCGAGUCACAUCUGGAGAUUUAUUCCCCACUCUAACUAGCACUUCUAAAUAGCACGUGUUUGAUUUUGUUUGCCUUUCUCGAGACAGUGUUUCCCUGUGCAGCCCUGGUUGUCCUAGAACUCCCUCUGUAGACCAGGCUGUCCUCGAACUCACAGAUCCGCCUGCCUCUGCCUCCUGAGUGCUGGGGUUAAAGGCGUGUGCCACCAGGCUCACCUGGACUGAUAAUUUCUAACUUUCCUUUGUGCUGAAACAGUCGGGUUCCAUUUCUCUUCACUGCCUUCUCUGUCUUCUUAGACGCUUGGGCAGGAUUUUCCUUUUUCAUUCCAGACACAUCACUUAAGAACCGAUACCUGAAGCUUCCAAAACGUUGUGUCGCAAAGACGCCCUUGUCUGUGACGUUACCACAGGAUAUUGCAUCCCUUCCUGAUCGGCUUUUGAUUUUCAUUUGUUUUUUAUUUUGUUGUAAUUUUCCCAGUUGACUGAGCCUCUGCAAACAGCCACCUUCCAUACAAUGACAACACUGCAAGGUUUGCUUUCUCUCUGAGGUUCUAGGCCCUCCACAUGACCCAGGCCAGCGCCCACAGAACAGUUCCUCAGCCACUUCUGGCCUUGCGGUGACAUGUGGUCCUACAGUGCAGCAACUCUUCAGUUGCUCUCCCACAGGGACAAUAUCCCAAAUACACUCAGAACCUGCUUUAUUAAAUACUGUGUUCAACCAUUCCCGAAGUAUCUGGAGUCACACAAGCACUAGGGGUUCUUGAAGACACAGUGCUGCCCCCAGGUUUUUGCCAAACACCGUCAUUUGAUGGUGUUCGAGUGUCCCUAGGUCUGCACCGCCCUGGCUGGCCCUCACUCUGCUGCUCAGGUUUCACGAUUGUUCCCCCUUCUCUCUUUUUAAUCGUGUGUGUGUGUGUGUGUGUGUGUGUGUGUGUGUGUGUGUGUGUAAGAGAGAAAGAGAGCACACAGGAACAUGGGUACCACCAUGUGUUGUGUGUGUGUGUGUGUGUGUGUGUGUGUGUGUGUGUGUGUGUAAGAGAGAAAGAGAGCACACAGGAACAUGGGUACCAUGGUGUGUGUGUAGGUCAGAAGAUAACUUUGGGAAUCUGUCUUCAUCUCCAUCUUGCUCGAGGCAGGGUCUUUUAGUGUUCAUCACUGAGUACCCCAGGCUAGCCUCUGGGCUUUCUCCUGAUAACCUCCCAUUUUACAUACAUGAGCUUCUAUAUGGGUGCUGAGGGAUAUGAACUCAAGUCUCCUUGCUUGCACAGCAAGCACUUACUCAGUAGCCAUCUAUCUGCCUCCCCUCUGCCCCGCUCCUCGCCAAUGGCCUCAUUUGUGUAUCCCCCUGAGUCUACCUCACAAGUACUAUAACUACAGUGGUGUACAUUAUGCUUCAUGGCCCUUGCGGGUUGUUGUUGUUGUUAUUUAAAUAUUUUCUUUGUUGUUUGUUUGUUUUUAAGACAGAGUUUCUCUGCAAAGCUGUCCUGGAACUUGCACUGUAGACCAGGCUGAACUUGAACUCACAGAUCCACCUGCCUCUGCCUCCGAAGUGCUGGGACUCAAGGCGUGAGCCACCACUGCCUGGCUUAAAGGAUGUUUUCUAAAUAUAGCGGUAAGUGCGUUUCCCUUUUCUAGGAAUAAUGACACAUAUUCCUAAUAACGAGUUUCCUUUCAGACUGUUUAUUGGUGAGUAUUACCGCAGGAUUCAGCCAGCAAAACAUAAGGCAAAAUCAAAGCCAGACACAGAGAACUUUGCAUUCUCUCUCUGCCCUCCCACCCUCCGUCUCUCCCUCCUUCCUUUCUCCCUUUUCUUCCUCCCUUCCCUCUCCUCCUGAAUCCCCAGCAUGUGACUAGAGAGGGACUGGAACUCCCAAUCCCUCUGCCUCUCCUCCCAAGUGCUGGCACGGUGGUCAUAGCCCACAUCAGCUUCAGUGGCUCUGGUCCCCUGAGAGCCACAGAGAGAAUGGACAUAGCUGGUGGCCUGAGGCUGAGGGAUGGGGCGGCUGCUUAGUGGGAGUCUUUUUGCAGGGGUGAGGUGGGGGUGGCUAAACAUGUUUUGUAACUAGUUGGGCAUGAUGCUUCCACCAAGACAACCCCUACCCCAUGCCAGCGCCUGGCUCACAGAAGCGUGAGUGCUGUGUGAGGUUCACCUCAGUAAACUGUGCCUUAAAAACAACCAAACAAAACAAUUCCUUUAAAAAAAAAAGUAUGGACUGGAGAGAUGGCUCAGUGGUUAAGAGCACUGACUGUUCUUCCAGAGGUCCUGAGUUCAAAUCCCAGCAACCAUGUGGUAGCUCACAGCCAUCUGUAAUGAGAUCUGAUGCCCUCUUCUGGUGUGUCUGAAGACAGCGACAGUGUACUCAUAUAGAAUAAAUAAACCUUUAAAAAAAUAUGAUUGGCUUUCAAGGAGACUUUGAUGUGAGGUCUGAAAUGCUGGUGGGGUUGGGGUGCUAGGUGCUUGACAGUUUCCUGCCCUGGGGCGCCCUCCCUCUUGACCUGGCGUGAAUCCAGCCUUAGUGAGGUCUAGAGGAGAGGACCCUCUUUGGAAUGUAACCUCCCUAAGUGGGCCUUACUUUCUUCAUCUGGAAAAUGUGGGCUGCACCCCGUGCUGGACCCCACAAACCUGACUGGUUUUCAUUUAGUCAGACUUGGCCUCCAGAUGUACUGGGAUUCCAGACAUGCGGCCCCACACCUGUCUUCCCUGAGGCUCCUGUCUCACAGAUUGAACCCUCACACAGGAAGCCACCCUCAGCCCUGAUGGGACCACAAGUGAUGGCUUGGCGGGGACUCUGCCCUGUGGCCCAGGGAUCAUACACAAAGGCCUGGGAGGGUACACUGACUGACUCUCAGAGUGACUCUCGGAAUACACCUCUUCUAUCUAUCCCUGGCUCCGCCCUGCCUGACUUACCUCCUUUCUGAUCUUCUGGCUUCAGCCCAUCUCCCUCGUCCACAACUCUGCCCCCUGAGAGAUGGAAUAAGGGAUCUUAUACAAUCUCAGUCAGUCCCACAUCUCCUCUGCCCAGAACCUUCCCCGUUCCCAUCUCUUCCACAGUAAAAGCUAAAGUUCCCCCUCCUCGGUGGAAGGCCUAAGUGUCCCUCCGCCAGGGACAGUGUCUUGCCGUGGCUCACGCACACCAGGCUUCUACCCCAGGGCCCUUGCACCUGCUGUUCUCAGGCCCUGUACCACCCACCCUCUGUCACCUCCUCUCUGCAGGCCUCCAUUCAAAUGCUACUUGCUCCAGAAGCCUGAUCUCUCAGAGGCUGCCAGUCUCCGGAAGUCUCUUCUUCCUUAGCAAACUUCUUGGCUGGGGUCCUGGGCCCAGCCCCAUGACUCAGAAUCUAGACAUGCUUCCAGGCCUCCGCUGGAUUUGGGCCGUCAGCCGUGGGGGCAGGUGGUGCCUGGCAGUACCUGGCACGGAGACCUCAGCCAGAGUCCAGCUGUGGGAGGCAACCAUGUCCAUUCACCCAGGCUUCCGGGGUACAGGUGGGAAGGCAUUGCGUCCCCCCACCCAGGCUCACCUGACUUCACUAACAGCCUCUCACCCUGGCUGCCCUGCCCUGAGGGAGAAGCUGAGGCUCAUCUGGGCCCCAGGUUGACUCAUGUCGCUGGCCCAUCCUCUGCCGCUGGCCGACCAGCCUCCCCCAACCUGAGAAGCCCAGCAGUCCUGUGCUACUAGGAAGCUUCACCCUGGCGAAGGUGCUUUCCCAAGCCUCCAGAGGCCUCUCUGUUCCUGUCAAGCCCAGCUGAGAGCCAUCUCUAGCCAGAAGGGGGACAAGGGAGCAACACACCAGGCCAUUGCAGGCUCUAUGCUGGGCUCAACCUGCCCGGCAGCCAGCAGGAGGAUCUGCACACAGAGGAACACAGUGGAGCCUCUAAGACUGAAAGAGCUGAGCUGUGAGCAGGUUGUGUGCUCUGUCCCAGCCCUCCCCACACCUCUGUGGGACUUAGCUUCCUGGGCAGGCAUCUGCCCCCUGCCCCCACUGUCUCUAGGAAAAAGCCUCCCCAAGGGAGGCCCUGCCAAGUGGAGGAGCUACUAUGGAGCAAGUGCCCCAGGUAGAGCCUUACCCAGGGGGCCCCCAGUUCCUAGUUCAGCGGGAGAGUGGCUGGCAUCUUUUGUACCAUGGAGAAUGAAGGCUUGGGGUACCACAGGCCUUGUUCCAGGCCACGAACUGAAGUCACAUGCCACACUGCUGGUCCUGUGGACCAGAAGCCUCCCUGCUGUCUGGCCAGCCAGCACCACAGGGAAGGGAGUUGACACUAGAGCUGACACAGUAGACAGGACCCCUGCUCCUGUCUCCUCCGCAGCCCCAGUCAUGCACUAACCUCUAUCCAUCCCUUCUUCUAUCCUUCUACUGCCCCAUCACCUUCUACCUCCUCUGCCACUCCCUGUCUAUCCGUCUUUCCUUUUACCCAAUCAAACUCAGACCUCACCAUCAUCACUGUCCCUCUGUCCGUCCACCCGUUGAUCCUUUCUUCUGCAGCUUUUGCUGUCACCCUAGUUAGCUUUAACUGCUCACUUGGCACAAUCCAGAGUCACUGGGAAGGAAGCCUCACUUGGGGGAUUGCCCAGGUCAGCGUGGCCUUUGGGUGUGUCUGCGAGGGGUUGUCCUGAUAUCAUUAAUCAGUACAGGAGGGCCCGGCCCACUGCGGGCGUAACCAUUGCUAGGCAGGGGCGUCUGUGGAAGAAGAGAGCUAGCUGAGCAUGACUCUCUGAGCGAGCCGGCGAGCAGCAUUCCUCUGCGGCUUCUGCUUCAAGUCCCUCCCUGACUCUCCUCAUUGAUGAACCGUGAUCUGGAAGUGUAAGCCGAAUAAGUAACCCCUGUAAGUUGCUUUUGGUUACGCUAUUUACCACAGUGUUGGGAAGGUAAUUAGAGCACACACCAUCCGGGUUACCCUUCCUGCCAGAAAUCCACCUGCCUAUCGGUUCAAAUGCCAUACUUCUGCCCACCCACCAUGUUUUCAUUUCAACCUCCUUCCACCCACCCGCUAUCCAUCCAUCUAUCCAUCCACCCUCUACUCCUUUUUCUGUCCACCAUGCACUCUUCUCUUUAGCCAACCAUCCUUCUACCAUCCAUCCAUCCAUUCAUCCACACCCCGUCCUUCUAUACAUCACCCACCCAUUCAUCCAUCCACCCAUCCAUCCACCUACUUGCCAUCCAUCCAUCCACCCACACCUAUAGGUCUAUCCAUUUAUCCAUUCAUCAUCCAUCCAUCCACUCAUCCACUUAUCCAUCCAUCCACCCACCCGUCCAUCCAUCCAUUCAUCAUUCAUCCACCCACCCACAUAUAGGUCUAUCCAUUUAUCCAUUCAUCAUUCAUCCACCCAUCCAUCCAUCCAUCCAUCCAUCCAUCAACUCACCCAUUCAUCCAUAAGACCAUCUAUCCACCCACAUAUACUUUUAUCCACUUAUCCAUCCAUCCAUCCAUCCAUCCAUCCAUCCAUCCAUCCAUCUAUCCAUCAACUCACCCAUCCAUCCAUAAGUCCAUCUAUCCACCCACAUAUACUUCUAUCCACUUAUCCAUCCAUUCAUCCAUCCAUCCAUCCAUCCAUCCAUCCAUCCAUCCACACAUCUACCCACUCAUGGAUCCACACAUCCAUCCGACCAUUGGCCCUUCCUUCUUUCAACUUUUCAUCCAUCCCUACUCCUCCCCUCAUCAGCAGCCCAUCCCUCCCAGCUCUCACCCUCCCACCCACAGCGUCUGGGGAUCUUUCUCUGGGAGCGCUGUGGUGGGAGUCAGGAGAAGUGCACGUAAUUAGGCUCCUAUUUAUUUGUUGUUCCAAGAAGGCUAAUUGUGAGGUUUGUAAACAGCCCUUUGAUGGCGGGGAACUACUUAAGAGGACAGUUAAAUAAACCGCCCCAGUGCACACAGUCUGGCUACUCAGAUGGGAGAUGCGGGCCUGACGAGGGUAACGGGGCAUAGUCAGCAGGAAAGUCAGCAUAAAGGAUGGUCACCAUAACCUCACGUGUGGGUGCACGCAUGUGUGUACACCACACACGCACACACACACACACAGUGUAGUACCUGUACCUGAGCACCACAGGCCUGGGAAAUGUCACCCUGUGUGUGCACUGUGCAUGGAACUGGAACCCCUAAAGAAGAAGCAGGGACUCAGGGGCCACACUGAACUAACCCUGUCUGUGCAAGAGUAGCCAUGACAGAAAGAAACACACAUGCUCUCAGUGUGCCAGCCCCUGCACCCAGUGCCUCUGUGUACUGUGGGGUUAGCCCUGCCGCUGCCCCUACUCUAGAAGGAAGUUAGGAAGCCCAGAAUGUAACAUCCACUCCUGAGACUCCUGUGAGGGAGAGCAGAUUGUUACAAAGUUAAAUGUUUGGACACAAAGUCUUGCUCUCAACAGCUGCUCAGGUUCUGUGAGUUUAGUCUACAAAGGCUCACACAUAGUUGGCCAAACAUUUGAAAAAAAAAACCCAAUUUCUCCUCCUUUGAAUAUUUAAAAAUCUUUUACAGUUUUAAGCUAUUAGUUUUCUUCUGACUUGUCCAGAUGUCGCAAAGCUUUCUCCCUGAGGAAGGGACUCAGAGUGGCAGUGACUCGGAGAACACCAACUGUCUCUAGAUGGUGCUGUGCCAAUAAAACUUUAUUUAUAAUAGGUGGCAGCUGCUGGGGCUCAGGGCUGGAGUCUGCUGAUUGCUGACAUGGGCAGCACAUACCAACUGUGACAGAAGAAUGGGGACUGACUGGAAAGAGCAUCACAACUGAUGGGAACUUUAGUGGGAUCCUGGAAUUCAGACCUGCAUUUCUAAGACUAUUUACUGAGCCACAUCCCUGGCCCCACUGGAAGAUCAUGAAUUUUUCUUUUGAAAUAGCCCUGACUGUCCUGGACCUUGAUCUGGCCUUGAACUCACAGAGAUCUACCUGCCUCUGCCUCCCCAAUGCUGGGAUCAAGGGCAUGUGCCACCAGCACCUGACAACAUUUUCCUUCAUAAUUAAAAGUUGCAUCUGGGGGUUGGGGAUUUGGCUCAGUGGUAGAGCGCUUGCCUAGGAAGCGCAAGGUCCUGGGUUCGGUCCCCAGCCCCGAAAAAAAGGAAAAAAAAGUUGCAUCUGAUUAUUUAUGCGCGAGGGUAUGUGCACGCAUGCAUCUACUCAGAGCACAAAUUUCAGGAGUUGUGUCUCUCCUUCCAGCAGAUCCUGGGGAUUGAACUCGGAUCUUCAGAUUAGGCAGGAAGCUCCUUUACCUGCUGAACCAAGUCGCCAGCCCACAUGAAGCAUUUUCAAAAGAAGUUUCACUUGGGCCAUUUGCUUUUCGAACUUUCCAGACACCACGGACCAUUUACCCAGGCAGGUUCUGAAGGAAUUUGCAAGCUCCUUAAAUUAAGUUAUGGUCAAUCUUGAUUGUCGUCUUGACUGAAUUAAGACAUGUCUAGUGUGUUGAGAGUGUGAGUGUGCCUCUCAGGAUGUCUGAGGAGGUUUCCAAGAGAAUUGAGGGCAAGUCCCAUCCUGAGUAUAGUCAGCGUCUUCUAUCCCAAGGACGUGGGCUGAGUAGAAAGGAGGAAAGGAUGCCCUGACCCGAGCUGAGCAUGGAUGUCCACCCCCUCCCCACGACGCGCUCCUGGUCCUCUCAGAUGGGAGCAAGCAGUUGUGCCUGCCCCUACAGCCCCAGCACUGCUGCUCACCAUAACUUUUCUGAUAUAAUAGACUGCGUUCCUGAAAACAGUGAGCCAGCAUAAACUCUCCCUCCAUGAAGCUGUCAUAGUGUGUGUGUGUGUGUGUGUGUGUGUGUGUGUGUGUGUGUGUGUCCUCUGCUUGGUUGGCCCCUAUCAGGGACAGCAAGUAUGUUAAAGGUCUUGGAUUAAUUUUGACACCAAAAUGUGUAAACUUUGGACUUAAAAAAAAUGACUGCAGCCAGAAGAUGAUGAAGCACACCUUUUAUUCCGGUACUUGGAGGCAGAGUCAAGCAGAUCUCUGUGAGUUCGAGGCCAGCCUGGUCUACAUAGUGAGCUCCAGCCUCUUGUGGUGCAGUUCUGUGCCCACCCCCAGCGGCUGUUGAGUGACUUCGAGAUGGUAUGUGGCUUGGGCUGCCCUGGAGUUAAGAACAAGGAAGUGAGAGGAGGCAGGGCAGGGUGUGACCGAAUGUUCUUGGGGCUGGUGGGAACAGAGCUGGGUCAGACAGAUCCCCUUUCUGCUAUCCUCCUCAUGCCUUCAUUUCCAAGUCUAGAAAAGCUGUGGGCCUAGAGAGGCACCAGGGGCACCAGGCAGCACUGGCUGAAGUUAAAAGACAAGUGAGAGGCAAGCACUCAGUUGCCACAAAGUCCAACAGCCUGAGUUCAGUUCCCGAGACCCACACGGUGGAAGGAGAGAACCAACUCCUCCGAGUUGUCCUCUUAACCUCCACAUGGCGAUGUGGCAUAUACCCAGCCCAAGUGAGAUCCUGGGAGAAAAUAUUCAGAAUAUAAAUAUAGUUAAAUGACUUGUUUCUACAAUAUGUAGAGAGUACUUGCAGAACAAUAGCAAGCAAUAGCAUAUCCUCUAUAGAAUCACAGAUAGUGUGGGUCAAUUCGUGGGAAAUGGCAGAGAGAUAAAGAAGUGUGGAAGACCUUUGCCCUUGUUGAUCAGGAGAACACAAAUUCAGAUAGCAAUGAACAGACAUUCCUCAUUCCUUAGGUCCACUUAAGUAGAAGAUAGAGGAUACAAAGUAUACUUUCCAGGAAACUGCUUUCCAGGAGAACCAAAAUGUGUGUUUUCUACAGCUUGGCUCUCUCUUCCGUUUUCUCCCUUAGAGAGGCAUCCACACAUAGGCACAAGCAAUGCAGCCCAGGUGGUGCUCUGGGAUCUCCAUCUUGGGUGCCUGCCCACCUUCGUCACUGGCAAUGAGCCUGCAGGAGUCCUGUGCUUGCAAGCAUCCCUUGCAGCUAGGUCUCCAGGAGCAGAUGUGCCCGCCCAGUCUCAGAAGCAGGGGUGGAGCCAAGCAGGCUCACCAACCGGGCAAUAGGAAGAGACUUCAAACACUAAACCGACCGACCUUGAGCCUGACCUUCGGCCACUCUUCUCAAAAAUGGCCUGACUUAGCUGAAAUUUGUCACUGAAACUUAGCACUUGUUCCAACAUGCCCAGGUCACACACAGUAACUUGAGGAAUCCUCACAAGCAUCCUGUGUGACCAGCACCAGGUCAAGGAACACACUCCAGGUCCCCAGAGUCCCCCUGGUGUCUCUUCUUAUGAUGACAAGCCACUCUCCAUGAGGGAGCCAUGCCUAUCUCCAAUACCACCCUGGUAGUGUGAGAUUGCAGGAACAGGUGUACCUGGUAUGUUCUUGUCAGGAGCUGGUUAUAAAAAGGCUGCUGUGAAUGUCUUUACCCUGUCUCCCAUGGCCGUCUAGCGGAUCACUUUGGCCAUCCAUCCAGGUGUAGAGAGGGCCUCUAAACUCGUCCUAAACUGUGUUACCCUGUGAUCAAGGAUGUGAAACACUUUGCACAGUGGCUGGUCCUUUGCACAAGUUCUGUGAUAAAGCACCACCCCCUAAGAGCUUACUGAA